Molecule: long non-coding RNA, 754 nt
Filed under: Homo sapiens (human)
Lineage: Eukaryota; Metazoa; Chordata; Mammalia; Primates; Hominidae
Description: HSALNT0263670
Source: RNAcentral
GAGGCCUCCUCUGACUUGCUCUAGGGAAAGGGGCUGCUACUUUGUUCCUGUCAGGUAUCUUCUAGGUCCUUCAUGGGGACCAGGCACUAGUUGAGGCCAAAGAGGAGACAAAGACUGACUCUGACUUCAGGAGCUCACAGUUUUGCGGGAACACAGGACUUUGCCCCAGAGACAGGGUCUUGCUCUGUCACCCAGACUGGAGUGCGGUGGCGUAAUCAUAGCUCACUACAGCCUCGAACUCCUGGGCUCAAGCAGUCCUCGCAGCUCAGCCUCCCGAGUAGCUGGGACUACAGAUGUGAGCCACAGCACCUGGCAAAGUUCUGCUUCUUGAUGAGAGAUGUUACUAAAUCAUAUUGCAAAGGGAGGGGUGGAGAAUUGCGGCCAUUUUUGCAAUCAAUCUAACGCAACACCCACUUGUGAAAGACAGAAACCUGGGUGACAUCCUGAGUCCUUCCUCCCACUUCUCCGACAUCCGUUACCUCACCAAGCCAAUUUGAUUUUCACCCCCCAAAACGCCAUUCAACUUUUCCUAUUGCCACCACCCCAGUCCAAGGAACUUGUCUACCUGGUCUACUCACAUUUGCUGUAGCUGUGCUCUACUAUCGUGGCCACAUAGCAGCCUAUAGGACUUCUUCAAAGUACAAGCCAGGUCCCAUCAUUUCUCCCUGCCCAUACCCUUCAAAGACUCUGUAUUAGUCCAUUCGCAGUUGCAAGCAGAAGAAACAGGCUCUGAUUAUGGCAAAAAAAAACACAA